GAGUAAUGCCUAGGAAAAAGCCCUGAUGUGGGGGAUAACCAUUGGAAACGAUGGCUAAUACCGCAUGAUGCCUACGGGCCAAAGAGGGGGACCUUCGGGCCUCUCGCGUCAGGAUAUGCCUAGGUGGGAUUAGCUAGUUGGUGAGGUAAGGGCUCACCAAGGCGACGAUGGGAAGCUGGUCUGAGAGGAUGAUCAGCCACACUGGAACUGAGACACGGUCCAGACUCCUACGGGAGGCAGCAGUGGGGAAUAUUGCACAAUGGGCGCAAGCCUGAUGCAGCCAUGCCGCGUGUGUGAAGAAGGCCUUCGGGUUGUAAAGCACUUUCAGUCGUGAGGAAGGUGGUGUCGUUAAUAGCGGCAUUAUUUGACGUUAGCGACAGUUGAAGCACCGGCUAACUCCGUGCCAGCAGCCGCGGUAAUACGGACCCUGCGAGCGUUAAUCGGAAUUACUGGGCGUAAAGCGCAUGCAGGUGGUUUGUUAAGUCAGAUGUGAAAGCCCGGGGCUCAACC
Molecule: ribosomal RNA, 510 nt
Filed under: Vibrio alginolyticus
Lineage: Bacteria; Pseudomonadati; Pseudomonadota; Gammaproteobacteria; Vibrionales; Vibrionaceae
Description: bacterial SSU rRNA
Rfam family: Bacterial small subunit ribosomal RNA
Source: RNAcentral